AUAGCACUGCAAAUCCUCUCACUAAUCAUCAAAAACCCACAAACAAAUUCACUCACAAACACAUACGCACGUACCUCAUUAACCAAAAACACAUAUAAAAGAGUAAAAAAUGAAGGCUCACUCAUCUCCUGCAACGAGUGAUCCUAGAACAUCCUCUGGUGUAAGGGUUAACAGGGGUUCUAGCCUUGAAGCAAUUAUGAGUGUAGUAAGAUCUCCCAGAACGUGGAGGGCAAGGAAUCCUAUUAGCAGCGAGAGCACCAUACGAGAUAUAGUAAUGUACUCUUCUCCAGAACAAUGAUCUACGCCCACCCAUCUCCUCAUUACCAUCCAAAUCUACCAACCCAUCACCAUCCUCCUCCAAAUCGUNNNNNGGCCUUUCUAGCGCGCCCGCCAUUAUCUUCAAGCCAGUUUCUUCCACCUGGGCAUUGAUUAUUGGGGUGAGAACAAGAAAGAUAGUGAAGAAGAAGAGAGAGAGAGUAGUAGCAGCAGCCAUGGAGAACAGAGUGGAAGGU
Molecule: unclassified non-coding RNA, 512 nt
Filed under: Hevea brasiliensis (rubber tree)
Lineage: Eukaryota; Viridiplantae; Streptophyta; Magnoliopsida; Malpighiales; Euphorbiaceae
Source: RNAcentral